RNAcentral lists this ribosomal RNA (519 nucleotides) under Triticum aestivum (bread wheat). RNAcentral describes it as "partial small subunit ribosomal RNA". The record is from RNAcentral. Lineage: Eukaryota; Viridiplantae; Streptophyta; Magnoliopsida; Poales; Poaceae.
AUGAGGACAGAGCCAAAUCAUUGGGCUAGGGUUUUUUUCCUUGGUUCAAAUUGUGAGUCCGUUGACAACAACCUAUGUGAGUCCUUCAAUAAUGCCAUUAUAGAAGCAAGAUACUUCCCAAUCAUUUCCCAGCAGGAGAAGAUAAGAAAAAAGGUACUUGUUAGAGUUCAAGAGCAGAGAACCAAAAGUGCUAACUGGCCAGGAAAGAUUUGCCCAAACAUAUACAAAAAACUAAAGGUCAGGAUUGCAAGGACACAAUAUCUUGAGGUGCUUUGGAAUGGAAAAGAUGGAUUUGAGGUCAGGCAUAUGCUAGGAAGACGCAAGAGGUACACAGUCAACCUUGAGAAAUGGACAUGUUCAUGUGGAUAUUUUCAGCUAGCAUGCCUUCCAUGCUCUCAUGCCAUCAGUGCUAUCUACAAGAGUGGAAAAAAGGUAGAAGAUUUCAUUCACAAGUGCUAUUACAUUGAGACAUUCAACAAGAUAUAUGAACAUUGCCUGCAACCAGUAGAGGGUGAAUAA